AUGGCCGUAAAGCUCGCCGGCGACGUCGCCAAGGUGGCUGACGUCAUCCGGAACUGCAAGCGUCGCCACCGCUGUCAACCGUCUGCCUUCCCGUGCACCUAUCUUGGGCUGCCCCUCUCAACGCACAAGAUCACACAUGGGCUGCUAAUGCCUGUUAUUCACAAAGUGGACAAACGCCUCUCAGGUUGGCUGGCCACUUUCCUUUCUUGGGGAGGACGGCUAACUUUGAUUAAUGCUGUUCUGGUAGCGAUCCCAAGCUACUUCAUGGGCUGCUUCAUCUGGCCGAAGCAAUCCUUACAGCAGCUAGAGCAGAUUAUGAGGGGUUUUCUGUGGCAAGGAAAGAACCACACACAAGGUGGGCAGUGCCUGGUGGCAUGGGAUUAUGUUACCCCGCCGCAGCAGAAUGGAGGAUUGGGCGUACCUGACCUUGAUGCGCAUAACUUGGCAAUGAUAAGCAAGGUCAUGACAAGGAUCCUGCAGCCCAGCGACGUCCCAUGUUACCAAUGGUUUGCAUCAACAUAUUGUCAUAAAGAGAUACCACUUACGGUGCACAAUACGGACACUGCCAUCUGGCGCUGCAUCAAAUCUUCUAUUCAGUUUGUCAUACAGUCCACAAGGAUGGCGGAGCAAAGGAAGCAGCACCUCCAGUCUUACAAGGAACAAAUUCGCAAGAUGCAGAAGCUUGCUCGUAGUUAUUCGCAGAGGAUUAUUGAUGACUAUCAAAAGCUUAGUUCCGAACUGGAGUCCAAGAUGCAUGAUCUUGACUCAGUUUCCAAGCAUCUGGAUGAACUAGAUCCGCAAAGUAUCCCUCAGAUAAGGAACUACGAGCAAGAGAAACAUGAGAAGGAGGAACAAGUCACUUUAUUAUUAGAGCAGGAAAGGAAUGCCAAGCAAUAUUCCCUGGAUAAACUGGCUUCACAAAUUAGCUCUAACUAUGAGCAAGAGAAAAAUGAGAAGGAGAAAGAAGCCGCUCUAUUAUUGGAGUUACGCCAGGAAAGGAUGCGGAUAGUGAAAAAAGUCGCUCUAUUAUUAGAGCAGGAAACUAAAGCCCAGCAGCGAUCCUUGGAUGAACUGGCUUCAAAAAUUAGCUCAAACUAUGAGAAAGAGGAAAAUGAGAAGGAGAAAGAAGCAGCUCUAUUAUUGGAGUUAGAGCAGGAAAGGAUGCAGAAGGAGAAACAAGUCGCUCUAUUAUUAGAGCAGGAAAGGAGUGCCAAGCAGCUAUCCUUUGAUAAACUGGCUUCACUAAUUAGCUCUAACAAUGAGCAAGAGAAAAAUGAGGGGAAACAAGUCGCUAUAUUAUUUCACAUUUCAGAGGAGGAAAGGAAUGCCAAGCAGAAGCUUGAGUUAGAAAAUAAACAGCUGCAGAGCCAAUUGGAAGCAAUGGAGCACAUGCAAGGUGAUGAAGACUCUGAAUCAAAGAAGAAAAUGGCUGAGCAAAUUCAGGAGCUAGAAGAGCAUUGUGAUACAUUACAAUCAUUUGCACAGACUUUGGUUAUCAAGGAAAGGAAUGCCAAUGAUGAGUUGCAGCUUGCUCGGAAGGCACUGAUACGUGGCUUCCAGGAUCUUAUAACUGGCCAAACAUCUAUAGGCAUCAAAAGGAUGGGCAUGCUUGACCAGGAAUCACUUGAAAAGGCUUUCCAACAGAAUAGCAUGAUGCUGCCUUAUUUUGUGCAAAAUGGGAGGCUGAGAUUUUUUCGAUAA
RNAcentral lists this ribosomal RNA (1701 nucleotides) under Triticum aestivum (bread wheat). Its description in RNAcentral is "partial small subunit ribosomal RNA". The record is from RNAcentral. Lineage: Eukaryota; Viridiplantae; Streptophyta; Magnoliopsida; Poales; Poaceae.